UUUAUAUUCCAGUAUCACACUUGCUCAGAACGAAGCUAUAGCUAGAGAGAUUGGGAGAAGUAGGGGUGCAAGCUGAUCGAUUGAUCGAUUUGGCCAUGCAUUUCCAAGCCGCCUUCUUCCUCUACUUCCUCCUCGACCUCGGCGGCUACCGCAGCGACGUCCUCUCCGUCUCCGACCUCGAGCCGCCCUCCGACGGCCUCUUCGUCGUCGGCCUCACCGGAGGCCUCGACGCCGACGAGCUAGCCGCCGUGGCGCUCCAGGGCCACGACCUCUCCCUCGCCGGCUUCGCCAACCGGACGCGCCACUGGCACGCCUUCCGCGGCCGCGAGGGCCUCGUCCCGUCCGCGGCCAGCGUCCUCCCCUUCGGCGGCGACACCUACCGCGACCUCAUCGGCGGCAUCCAGAACCUCCCCGGCGUCCCCCUCGGCCGCGACGCCAUGGUGCGCGCCGCCCGCGUGCUCUCCUCCUACGACCCGGCGGCGUUCGCCGCCGAGGGGAACGAGGUGGAGGAGCUCGGGCGGGCGCUGGCGGCGGUGACGGUGAUGAUCAGCGAGGCGGCGCGGGUGAAGCCGAUCAACGAGACCGUGUCGAGCGGGUGGGGGGGGGGGGGGGGGGGAGGCCCGCGUCGCCGCCGAGCACCUGCCGUACAUCGAGCACUGGGACACCAUGUCGUUCGAGCUCCUCCGCUUGAGGCGCACCGGGAGGUGGGACGGCCCGUUCACCGAGCUGCUGAGGAAGGACGCCGGCAUCGGCGGCGCGGAGGAGGCGGGCGCCGUCGCCGGCGUGCUGAUCGAUCGCGACCUGGAGGAGCUGCAGCUUGCUCACGGCAUCUGAUCACUGCAGCUUGCAGUGCUUGCUUGCUUCAUCGUCUCACGCGCGGCUGCUCGCUGAAUAAAAAUAUUGUUGUGUGUUGUGAUGUUGUGUUUUGUGUUUUCAGAUCAAAGUGUUUAGAACUUAAUUUGGUGAGCCGCCUCUGACGAUUAUUAUGCAGUAAAUGUUUUGUGCCUCAGUGCUGUUUACUGAUGGGAGUUCCGUUUCAUACAGAUUGGUAUUGUGAUGGUUAAUCCAAAUUAAAUUCAGCAUCAAAA
Non-coding RNA from Oryza sativa Japonica Group (Japanese rice), 1088 nucleotides. The record is from RefSeq and is a predicted model, not a curated record. Lineage: Eukaryota; Viridiplantae; Streptophyta; Magnoliopsida; Poales; Poaceae.